Long non-coding RNA from Papaver somniferum (opium poppy), 4430 nucleotides. RefSeq lists it as uncharacterized. The transcript is spliced from 9 exons. Lineage: Eukaryota; Viridiplantae; Streptophyta; Magnoliopsida; Ranunculales; Papaveraceae. The record is from RefSeq and is a predicted model, not a curated record.
UUCAUCUACUUCUCCUUCUCGAGGAGCAACAAUGAUUCGAAGUUAACCACACAUCUUCUCAUCUUUUAGUUGAUUUCAGUUGGUCAUGAAGGGAUUUGCUAGGUACAAAUUAGGGGAGGAAAACAUUUCUAGCUAGAUGUCUCAGCAGCCUGGUUUUUCGAGGCAAAUCAGGCUCCAAAGGAAGCUUCUCAAUAAGGAUGUUGAGAAGUCAUUUAGAAGGCAGCUCAGGAAAUGUGAUAGCCAUUUGUAUACGUUUCCGGUUAGUAGCUUUUUUGGUCUCUUUAAACAAUACAUAAAGGGUUAUUAUGGGACUAUGUCGCCGAUUUAGGUAUUGGUAGACAAAUUCGGCCUGACCGAUAUAGCGGUGCAAGACGGCAAGUAAGAGAGGACAUGGAUGACACUGAAAAUAUAGUACUGCUCAUUGGAGAUGAUAAUUUAUCACCGAAAGGAUAGUUUACACAUGGAGAAAGACACAGCAGCAUAGUGCGGAAGAUUCCCAAAAUUGCAUUUGAGUGCAGUUUACAUAGUUUGACCGGAUAAUCUGGAUUAUUAAUAUAAUAAAAUAAAAGGGAAAAGCGCUUUCAACUUGGAUGUCACUACAUGAAACUGGAUAGUAUUGUCCAAUUGGCUACCUGUAGGAGUUGUUUAAGAGAAUAUUUUCUCAACAGGAUAUGUACGUAUGGUGGCCUACAGUAUUUUAACUGGAUGAUUUGGAUUAUUAGUAUAAUAAAACAAAAGUGACUCCCUACUACAGUGAGUAGACAGUAUAUUCUAAAUGUGACCUCAGCUGGAGAAUGAGAAUGGUGUAUUCGUCAUAUAUUACUUGCAAAAAAAUCUUAUCAGAUGAACAAAAUAACUUCGUGGAAAUGCUCAUUCUCCUGAAGUCUGGGUAACAAAGAGAAGAUUGUGCAUCUUCGCCGUCUUUUAAGCAGACAAACAAUGUUCAUAACUAUAUUACUGGAUGUGAUUUUCAUGGGUAGGUUUGAUGUGGUGGUAAAUGGUGAAUUCUCUCUAAGUCUUCACAAUAACAAACGAGAUAAUAGGUAGCAGGAUCCUGUGUGCGACAGAGAUAUGUUACUUCUUGAAAAAGUGGGUACUUACUACCACUGUAUAGGGUUGCGUAUGAUGAUAUCCUGUUAUAACAGCACGACUGCCACAAAGCCAUAGCGUUGGACUUUGUGGCAGUGGAUAGAGCUACUUUUAAGAAGUUAUAUCUAGAGGCAAUCCAAAUCUAUUUGAACCAAUGGAAACUUGAUAAUUGUUGUUGUUGGGGCUUUCGAUGCAAUAGUAAGAUAGGUAUGGUGUAUUCUCACAAACAUAGUCAGGUGUUAACCUUGGUUCCAUCUCUUAAUUGCUUAAUUUCCUCACUAAAUAACGCUAUUUUACGUUUUUAAUUUCUUGAUCUGUUCUAGCAGUUUCAUUAUAUAUAAUUGGGUGGAAACCCUAACUUUGUUUUCACCAUCAUCAAACUAUCAACAUCAGGCUAUUGAAGCGAAAUAUGAAGAAUCCCUGGUGAUUCACGGGUUUUCUUUUUGUGGUACAUAAACGAGAGUUCUCAACCAUGUGAGAAUUUGACUCACUGUUAUGUACUCUUUGCUCUCGGUGUUCUGUUUUCCCCCCCGUAAUACAGUAUCAAUAGGUCCCUAAUAGCGACUAUGUACUUACCAUAUAUUACAUGAAUACCGAAGCUACGGAAUUUGCCAUCUAACACCUGCACCAACUUCUCUAAAAAUAUUUCUCUCAUUGUUGUUUUAUUUUAGGGACAAUCAGAGGUUGAAUUGGAGAUGAGGUCGUAAGAAGCAUUUGAAAUAUAUCCUCUGGCCAAAUUUCAUGGUACGUUAUAGAUGUAUAUCUCUUAUUUGCUGCAUACAGUUCAGUUGACUUGCAAUUUAGAUUAUUCCAUCUUUUAUUUUUAUGUAAUAUUAUGUCAGAGUAUUGUAUGUGACUUGGAUACCUUAUUCGAGUGAACGACUCAGGUGGCAGAGCUCAAUGCGACACUAACAUGAUAUAUUUGAAUCUACCAACUCCAAUGAAGAUCUAUAAUUGUUAUAGUAUAAUGGGUUACACAAUUGAAGUAUUUACUAUUGGAAUUUCUGUUUUGGUUAAUAACAAUUUUUAAUUGAUUUUAAAAUCCACAGACAGAUGUUGUUUGGUUGCAUUUAGUCUCUAGCUAUUAUACUUUACUUGCCCAGCUAUUUUUUGUUUGUAAAAGCAGAAAACUGCAAAACUACAAAGUAAUGGCCUUCAUUUGAGAUAUUCUGUUGUGCACCUAAUUUGGCAUCUUUUUUACAUGGCUUUCAUUGGUACAAUCUGAAAUUUUACACCUUUGAGGCAGAAAUUACAAUCUAAGUUGAACAUUCAUUCAAACUGGAGGUUCAAAUCACUGGGUAACAUCUGAUUUUUUUCUUCUUUGCUCUCUUGCCACCCAUGAGUGGGAAAAAAUAGAUUUACCAAUUCGAUUUUACUUCUUCAUUGGUUUUUCUGAAACUAAAGAUGUGAAUGUUAAAUGCUUUAGUAGUUUUAGUUCAAUUGAAUUGAUGGGUAAAUUUAUUUUUUCGGGGAAUAAAUGUGCCGAAAUGGAUAGUAUGCUUGCUGCUAUAUUCCUUUGAAUAAUGUGAUUGCUGUUGAUAUCAUAUGCAGUCUAGCAUAUCACAGUUUUAUCACUAUGUGAUAAGGUUGUUGGUAUUAAAGCUACAUUAGUGGAGGGAGUCAUGACCCCUAGGUUUUGGUGGUUUCUCUACUUAACUAUGAACAUCUUGGGAAAGAGGUUUAUUAGCGAGUUGCUCUUAACUCAGUUUCAGCCUUUACUCUGAUUGUUUCUUAGUUAUAUACAGGGGUCAUACAUCUAACCUCCCUCUCUUACAUUUUUGUGUUAUAUACCCUUGCAUCUCAUUAUUUUUCAGGCGGAAUCCAAUAUAGCUGUGGAAUACUGAUUACUGAGCAUGAAGAUUCGUGAUUUUCUUAAAUUUAUUAUUAAUAAUAAUGCAAUCUUGAAACACUGUGGUAGUAGUUAUUCUUAUGUAAGAAGAGCUUUACCUUUUAUGACCUCGAGUAGCUGAUAAUUACAGCUCAUAUCCUUGCACGUUUUGCAUUAUUGAUUUGGUUCCCCUUAAUUAGAAUACGUAAGAAACUAUAUGACUCUCAUCUGAAAUUUUCCAUUCGAGAGGCCCAACAGUAGACCUCCAGGAUCAUAUGGUGGAAAAUCCAGUGUUGCUGAAAAGUCGCAGUGAUCCAGAAGCAUGUAUUUUAGUCCAGAUUGAGUUCGUGUUAGAGGCAGGGUCUCCGGCUUUCAAUGCAGUUUCUGCUACGUUGAAGAGCUCUACUGUAGAAGUCUCUUUAUUCCACCUCCAACACUUAGAAAGAUAUAUCCGAAGUCUGUUACCCCUGGAUAUAGCAACGUUCACAGCUUCAACUGACACCAGCAAGUGCUCCAUCUAGAAUUCUUAAACCUAAACGAGUUGAUGUUGAUACCAUUUCAGUUUUAUUUGUGUAAUCAAUAUAAAUUGUUUACUCUUCUGACUUUUCUUUCUGAUGCCAUGUUACAAAUGCAGCUACACUCCAAGCACGUUAGAGAGAAAUUCAGACAAGAACCCUCAAAAACAAGUUAGAGUGAAUCAGAAGAUGAACGGCUCAGGCUUCACAGGCCUGAUACGCAGAUAUAUAUGCUCAGGAUUCCGCUUCAUAAUAUCACUGAGAUAGUCAUUCAAGUGCUACCCCUGCAAAAAAAAAUGGUAAUGAAGACCUCCCGCAAAAUCACAAACUGAUCUAUAAGACCUAAGGAGAACAACUUUCCUCCCAUCACAUCAACAUAAAGUGAUUUUUCACGGUCGAGGAGGUACAAUAAACCGUAAACGGGUGAAAAAUACUUGGAGGAGUUGUAGGAAGCAGCUACCUACAAUAGCUGUGAGCGCGAACAUAUUUAUUGGCUUGUUGGUCUUUGCAUCUCAGUAUAUCCAGUGAUAAAUUCCAGAAAGAGAGAAGAACGAUAAUUGAUGGGGUUGAUUUCCAACAUGUUCCCCUUAAUGAAUUUAAUGAAUACAAGCAGAACAUGCAGUCAAUAGUCUCCUUCAUUAAGGUCCUACUUCGCUCCCUCUGUAUCUACAAUUAUUUCAUUGUCCAGCAGUCACUCAUGAGAUGGUACGCAUGUGGUGUUGCAGUAUGCUUCUUGAUACCUCUAUCUCUUCUCUGACUAUAAUUUUGGUGUUGCAGUAUGCUUCUUGAUACCUCUAUCUCUUCUUGAUAGAAUAUGUAUAUAUAUUUGAUGGUUCUUUCUCCCAUGGUAGGAAUAAUAAAACUCUGGCAGAAAGGGCAAGAAUGGAUUACACUUUCUUACUACUCAAAAAUAAUUACACUUUCUUACUACUCAAAAUAUAUUAUGAAGCAAGGGCAAGAAAGAAUCGUUCCCACAGAGAGGUCUUAGGUUGCCACUA